RNAcentral lists this ribosomal RNA (1418 nucleotides) under Fusarium verticillioides. RNAcentral's name for it is "partial large subunit ribosomal RNA". It matches the Rfam family "Eukaryotic large subunit ribosomal RNA", at positions 24 to 1462 of the family's 3401-position model. Lineage: Eukaryota; Fungi; Ascomycota; Sordariomycetes; Hypocreales; Nectriaceae. The record is from RNAcentral.
CCCGCUGAACUUAAGCAUGUAUCAAUAAGCGGAAGGAAAAAGAAACCAACAGGUUGCCCUAGUAACGGCGAAGUGAAACGGCAACAGCUCAAAUUUGAAAUCUGGCUCUCGGGCUGAUUUGUAAUUUGUGGGGAUGCUUUGAUGCGGUGCCUUCCGAGUUCCCUGGAACAGGACAUAUAGAAGAUUGAGAGCCCCAUCUGGUCGGAUCACAAAUCUCUGUAAAACUCCUUCGACAAGUCGAUAGUUUGGGAAUGCUGCUCUAAAUGGGAAAUUAUAUAAUGUACAAAAGCUAAUACCGACCAGGAUGGAAAUAGCACUACAAGUAGGUGAUCAGAUGAAAGCACUUUGAAAGAGAGUUAAAAAGUACGUGUGAAAUUGUUGAAAGGGAAGCGUUUAUGACCAGACGGGCUUGGUUAAUCAUCUGGGGUCCUCCCAGUGCACUUUCCAGUCCGGAGCCAGCAUCCGAAGUUUUCGCCGGGGGAUAAAGAGCUUCCGGGGAAUGUGGCUCUCUCCGGGGAGUGUUAUAGCCGUUGCGUAAUACCCUGGCGGGGACUGAGGUUCGCGCAUCUGCAAGGAUGCUGGCAUGUGGUCAUAACGGCCGUCUUGAAACGGACAAAGGUCGUCUUCGUAUACUGCAGUGUUCGGGUGUCAAACCCCUACGCGUAAUGAAAGUGAACGCAGGUAGAAACUUCGGCGCAUCAUCGACCGAUCUGAUGUUCUCGGAUGGAUUUGAGUAAGAGCGCCCAGGAGGCCGGACGAAAGAAGGUGAGCUAUGCCUGUGUGGGGUGAAGCCAGAGAAAACUCUGGUGGAGAGCUCGCAGCAGUUCUGACGUGCAAAAUCGAUCGUCAAAACAUGGGCAUGGGGGCGAAAGACUAAUCGAACCUUCUAGUAGCUGGUUUCCCUUGAAAUUUCCCCUCAGGAUAGCAGUGUUGAACUCAGUUUUAUGAGGUAAAGCAGGUGUUCAGGGACUCGAGGGCGCUAUUUAGCCUUCAUCCAUUCUCAAACUUUAAAUAUGUAGAAGCUCUUGUCACUUGAGUGAACUGUGAGCAUUCGAAUGUAAUCAACACUAGUGGGCCAUUUUUGGUAAAGCAGAACUGGCGAUGCGGGAUGAGAACCGACGCGAGGUUAAAGGUGCCAGAGUGAGCGCUCAUCGAACACCACAAAGGUGUUGGUACACCUUGACAGCAGGACGGUGGCCAUGGAAGUCCGGAAUCCGCUAAGGACUGUGUAACAACUCACCCUGCCGAAUGUGUACUAGCCCCUGAAAAUGGAUGGCGCUCAAGCGUCUCACCCAUACCUCGCCCUCGGGGUAGAAACGAAGCCCUGAGGAGUAGGCGGACGUGGAGGUCAGUGACGAAGCCUGGGGGCGUGAGCCCGGGUUGGGCAGCUUACUCUAGUGCAGAUCUUGGUGGUAGUA